This 124-nucleotide ribosomal RNA is filed under the name Lepisosteus oculatus (spotted gar). The record is from RNAcentral. Lineage: Eukaryota; Metazoa; Chordata; Actinopteri; Semionotiformes; Lepisosteidae.
GCCAGCAGCCAGAUCACUCUGCAACUCACAACUGGCAACCCCACCCCAGUGGAGCUCAGCAGGUGUGAGCCUGGUCAGUACCUGGAGGGGAGACUCCUGGGGAAAACUAAGGUUGCUGCUGGGA